GUAUCAUAUAACUUCUUCUCCUAUAUAAACAUCAAUCCAUUAACCUAAUAGAUUUAAUACACACACUUUCACAAAAAUAAAUAAGUUAAUAUUGUACGAUGGGCGCUUUACGCAAGAAUUCUGUGGCACGAGGCAUUGCUGUGCUUCUGUUCCUUUUCGUGGUUGUACUAUGCGCGGAAGGGCAGCUAAAUGCAGCUUGCCUCAUCGACUGUGGGAAGAAAAUAGUUUUUUGUGCAGAGAACUGUGGAAUCAAGGGAGGGGAAGAUAGUUGCUAUGAAAAUUGUGCCAGUGAAAACGUUGGCUGUGUGACUACUUGCACGGGAUCAACUCAGCUGCCAAAAGCCAAGUAUAAUUAGCAAGCUACUAUACUAUGCAUAAGCCUCAUCAAGUUCAUUAGUAUUAAUGGGAAUUUAGUCAUUUACAUAUGUUAAAAUAAACAUAAUCAUAAAUGUAAUUGGGAAUGUUAAGAAUCCCUAGUUCUGAUCAAGAAUCCUAUGUAUUAUCUCUUUAAUGAGGAUAUCAGGAUUAUAAGAACUUAUAUAUGUUCCAUGUUUUAAAGAGAAGUUGUUGUCACAUUGCUGAACUUAAGAGCUGAAUCAUGUCCUGCUUUAGUGUUAAGGCUUGUGUUGGUCGGUAACUCGGGUGCAUACAUGUUGAGUCUUUGGGUUAAGUUGAC
RNAcentral lists this long non-coding RNA (676 nucleotides) under Olea europaea subsp. europaea. Lineage: Eukaryota; Viridiplantae; Streptophyta; Magnoliopsida; Lamiales; Oleaceae. The record is from RNAcentral.